This 444-nucleotide long non-coding RNA is filed under the name Panax ginseng (ginseng). RNAcentral's name for it is "long non-coding RNA (PGIN_LNC011858)". Lineage: Eukaryota; Viridiplantae; Streptophyta; Magnoliopsida; Apiales; Araliaceae. The record is from RNAcentral.
AACAUGUGUGAUAAGGUGAUUAGAUUAUGUGCUGACUGCAAUAGGCAGUGUUAUGUGUUACGUUAUGAUAUACUAAUCAGUAAAAUGAUUUGAUUAAUGAUAGGUCGUGAUAGAAACGAUAAAUCUAAGUUGCGUAAGUGUAAGCAGCGCAUCAGGCAAGUAUCCUAACUUUGCAUUUUCUUUAUGCAAUGGACAAGUGUAAGAAUGUUUCAAAAUUAUAUUAUUAUUAUUAAUGUACAGAUUGUUAAAGCUAUAUUAUAUAAGCCCAUUGAUUAUCAACAUGUUAGUAUAUGAUAAUUCGGAUAAAUAUAUUCUGUUCGUUAAUUUCUAUAAAUGAUUAUACAAGUGUCCCCACUUGGAUAAUCAUUGUAUUUAAUCGCAUGUUGAUACACCUUUGAUAUACAUAUAUGUUGAAUUAUAUAAGACCUUUGUUAUGAAAACCCG